UGAAUCAGCACAGAUCUUGGGCCAAGU
Molecule: non-coding RNA, 27 nt
Filed under: Rattus norvegicus (Norway rat)
Lineage: Eukaryota; Metazoa; Chordata; Mammalia; Rodentia; Muridae
Source: RNAcentral